GUGCUUGCUUCGGCAGCACAUAUACUAAAAAUUGGAACAAUACAGAGAAGAUUAGCAUGUUCCCUGUGCAAGGAUGACACACAAAUUCAUGAAGCAUUAAAAUAUUUU
Nomascus leucogenys (northern white-cheeked gibbon) is the source of this 108-nucleotide small nuclear RNA. The record is from Ensembl. Lineage: Eukaryota; Metazoa; Chordata; Mammalia; Primates; Hylobatidae.